UACGGAGGGAGCAAGCGUUAAUCGGAAUUAUUGGGCGUAAAGCGCACGCAGGCGGCUUGUUAAGUUAAAUGUGAAAUCCCCGGGCUCAACCUGGGAACUGCAUCUGAUACUGGCAAGCUUGAGUCUCGUAGAGGGGAGUAGAAUUCCAUGUGUAGCGGUGAAAUGCGUAGAGAUCUGGAGGAAUACCGGUGGCGAAGGCGGCCCCCUGGACAAAGACUGACGCUCAGGUGCGAAAGCGUGGGGAGCAAACAGG
Molecule: ribosomal RNA, 253 nt
Filed under: uncultured bacterium
Lineage: Bacteria
Description: partial 16S ribosomal RNA
Rfam family: Bacterial small subunit ribosomal RNA
Source: RNAcentral